This 20-nucleotide transfer RNA is filed under the name Carinascincus ocellatus. RNAcentral describes it as "partial tRNA-Leu". The record is from RNAcentral. Lineage: Eukaryota; Metazoa; Chordata; Lepidosauria; Squamata; Scincidae.
CUUUUAAAGGAUAGAAAGCU